RNAcentral lists this ribosomal RNA (153 nucleotides) under Backusella circina. RNAcentral's name for it is "5.8S ribosomal RNA". It matches the Rfam family "5.8S ribosomal RNA". From Rfam's summary of the family: 5.8S ribosomal RNA (5.8S rRNA) is a component of the large subunit of the eukaryotic ribosome. It is transcribed by RNA polymerase I as part of the 45S precursor that also contains 18S and 28S rRNA. Functionally, it is thought that 5.8S rRNA may be involved in ribosome translocation. RNAcentral also lists the same sequence under 1 other name. The record is from RNAcentral. Lineage: Eukaryota; Fungi; Mucoromycota; Mucoromycetes; Mucorales; Backusellaceae.
CAACUUUCAACAAUGGAUCUCUAGGUUCUCGCAUCGAUGAAGAACGUAGCAAAUUGCGAUAACUAGUGUGAAUUGCAUUUUCAGUGAAUCAUCGAGUCUUUGAACGCAUCUUGCACUCUAGGGCAUUCCCUAGAGUACGCCUGUUUCAGUGAC